This 2139-nucleotide ribosomal RNA is filed under the name Triticum aestivum (bread wheat). RNAcentral describes it as "partial small subunit ribosomal RNA". The record is from RNAcentral. Lineage: Eukaryota; Viridiplantae; Streptophyta; Magnoliopsida; Poales; Poaceae.
AUGAGGUUCCUAUCAUUCGUGGAUCUGCCUUGUCAUCCGUGUAUGGCCAUGGUUAUCCUCCCACUCCUCCUGCUCGUGCCUCUCACCGCUGCCCAAACGUGGCCAGCGUGCGGCGAGAGCGGCAACUACAAAUCAAAUAGCACCUAUGAAGCCAACCUCAAGCUCCUCUCUUCCAUCCUCCCAAAGAAAGCAGCAUCCAACACCACCCUCUUCGCCACCGACACCGUCGGCAAUGUUCCGAACACCAUCUUUGCCCUUGCUCUCUGCCGCGGGGACUCCAAUGCCUCUGCCUGCGAAGGAUGCUUGGUGACCGCCUUCCAGGACGGGAAGGAACACUGCACGAGCAAUAAGGACGCCACCGUGUACUACAAUAGCAAUCCCUGCAUGCUCAGGUUCUCCAACCAGAAUUUUCUCGCCACCAACGUCAAUGACAAUAUAUUCGUCAUUGUGAGCCUCGAGAUGUUCAUAAACAUCUCGACAAGAGCUUUCAACUUCUUGUUGUUCACACUUCUGAACAACACAGCUCAAUCGGCUGCGAACAGCUCGAGGAGGUUCACCACCUCGCGCUUAGAUGUCAGCUCCCUCCCGACGCUCUACUGCCUUAUGCAGUGCACGCCCGACCUGAGUGCUGAUGACUGUGCGGCCUGUUUCCAGCCUUACUCCCAGUUAACACUCAAGUACAUGGACCGUAGGAAAGGUGGUCGACUUCUGGGGACACGGUGUAGCAUGAGGUACGAGAUAUACCCGUUCUUUCAAGCGGACCCCAUGCUGCAUAUUAUCAGCUUGGUAUCUGAACUUCCGCCGAUCAACAAUACCAUGCCGCCAGUUACAUUGUACCCACCCCCGCAGUCGCAACCGCUGUCACCGGUUGCGGCACCACCACCUCCGGAGGCGCAGGCGACCACCCAAGAACUUCAUGGACGCAACUCACGCCGGAGGGUGCUUUGGAUUAUUGCUGUGGCAGCUCCAUUACUGUCAAUAUUUUUGUGUGUUAUUUGUUUCGUUGUAUGGAUGAGAAGACGAAGAAAAGGAACUGAAAUCGUACAUGAUCAAGCUGCCACAAAUAGGCCGGAAGAAGACGCAUUGGUUUGGAGAUUGGAAGAAAAGAGUUCAGAGUUCAUUCUCUUUGACUUUUCUGAGAUAUUGCAUGCUACACACAACUUCUCGAAAGAAAACCUACUUGGGCAAGGUGGUUUUGGCCCUGUCUACAAGGGCCAAUUACCAGAUGGAAUAGAAAUUGCAGUUAAAAGGCUUGCCUCACAUUCAAGACAGGGUUUCACGGAAUUCAAAAACGAAGUUGAACUUAUUGCAAAACUACAACACAGUAAUCUGGUCAAGCUCAUGGGUUGCUGCAUUCAGGGAGAGGAAAAACUUUUGGUGUACGAAUAUUUGCCAAAUAAGAGCUUGGACUUCUUUAUCUUUGAUGUUAGCAGAACAACGUUGGUUGAUUGGAAUAAAAGAUGUGUGAUAAUCGAAGGGAUAGCCCAAGGUCUACUGUAUCUCCACAAGCACUCUCGGUUGCGCAUCAUACACAGAGACCUUAAGGCCAGCAACAUUCUCUUGGACCAGGACAUGAAUCCUAAAAUUUCUGAUUUUGGGUUAGCUAAAAUUUUCAGCUCCAAUGAUACCCAAGGAAGCACAAAGAGGGUGGUGGGAACAUAUGGUUAUAUGGCUCCGGAGUACGCAUCUGAAGGCAUUUACUCGAUCAAAUCUGAUGUGUUCAGCUUUGGUGUCUUACUUCUCGAGAUCCUUAGCGGACAAAGGAAUUCUGGUUUCCAUCAGCAUGAAGACUUUCUUAACCUACUUGGAUACUCAUGGCAGCUCUGGGAAGGAGGAAGAUGUCUUGAGAUUCUAGAAGCAUCAAUUGCUAAGGAGAUCCAUGCAGCCGAGGCUAGGAGGUACAUUAACAUUGCACUAAUGUGCGUACAAGAGCAUGCAGAUGAUCGACCGACUAUGUCAAAUGUCGUUGCGAUGUUAAACAGCGAGGGUGUUAUUCUUCCAGAGCCUAAGCAUCCGGCAUACUUCAACCUAAGGGUAUCUAAGGAAGAUGAAUCGGGUAGUGUUCUGGACAGUCAUAAUGAUGUAACUAUCUGCAGUAAUAAUGACGUAACCAUCACUGAGGAGCCAGAUGGCAGAUAG